Molecule: long non-coding RNA, 467 nt
Organism: Ornithorhynchus anatinus (platypus)
Lineage: Eukaryota; Metazoa; Chordata; Mammalia; Monotremata; Ornithorhynchidae
Exons: 3
Source: RefSeq, a predicted model, not a curated record
AGUUGUCUUCCAGUUUUCAGCUGAGAUGGAGUUUUGCCCAGGGCUCUGCCUUACUGCAUCCCCCAAAUCCUUCCUCUGCCUCACUUUCAGUUUCCCAAUUUCCACUCAUCACCCAGGAGCCAAACCGAUUGCCAUGAGCCAGACUCACCUCCUCCCAGAAGUUUUCCCAGUCUUCCAGGAGAUUCUGAGAAAUGGAGUCCUUCAGAUCUUGGGAAAUGCUGUUAUCAGGAAGGUGGAAGUGAAAGGAAAUGCUUGAAAUCCCUAACCAGAGGCACUGGAUUGUAAACUCCUUGAGAGUUUUCUCGACGACAGGCCAAGGAGAGAACCCACCGUGGCGUUGCAGAUGGGAUCUUCAGACUGGGAGCCCGUUAUUGGGAAGGGAUUGUCUCUGUUGCCAAACUGUACAUUCCAAGAGCUUAGUACAAUGCUCUGCACAUAGUAAAUGCUCAAUAAAUACAACCGAAUGA